This is a long non-coding RNA of Papaver somniferum (opium poppy), 1653 nucleotides long. RefSeq lists it as uncharacterized. The transcript is spliced from 3 exons. The record is from RefSeq and is a predicted model, not a curated record. Lineage: Eukaryota; Viridiplantae; Streptophyta; Magnoliopsida; Ranunculales; Papaveraceae.
UUGAGUGACAAAGAGAUCAGCUCAUGAUUUCAAUCUCAAACAAGUUCACCACUUUUGAUCCAAUCAAUGUCUUUUAGACUCUGGGGCUGAAUCAUUCUAUUGUAAAAUGUUGGAGUUGGAAGGGAUUGUGGACCAGUUUACAGUUUCUCUCGAGGCUUGGAUUCUGCUCGGAAAAAGGAGUCUCCCUAACUCUAAUCAACUUUCAGGCAAUCAAGAGAGUUUGAUUAUAAGGUCUACAUUUAACUUUGUCAUGAUUAGAGAUUUUCAUAUUUGUUUUCCUUAUUAGUGAUGGAGUAAACCAAAAUUUAGGAAGUGACUUGACAUAACUUGUUUGAAUUUAUUUGAAGAAGCAUGCCUUGAAAUUCCAUAAUUAGGGUUUUGAAUUAAAAUGUUGAUAACACAACUAGUUGAUUUUGAUUGGUAAAUUCCAUAAUUCGGGUUUGAUUAAAAGGACUACGUCUUUUUAGUGUAUCAAUCAAGGCUCUAGGACUGUUUGAUCACAUUGAAUUCAAAAUUUUGUAUUGGCUGCUCGAAAGAAAAUAUAUACUAAGAAGUCUAUUGUUAUGUAAGGUAGACUAAAGAUGUGCACGAGAGAGUUGCAUUUUCUUCUUCCCAAUUCCCAAAUUUGAUGUUUGCUAUCUUUAGCGGACUUGAACCUGAAUGCAUUUCUUGGGUCUUGCCAAGGAAGUAGAUAUUGGAAAUGGUACAUCUGAUGUGAAGAGGUAAGUCCUUGGUGAGCUAUAUUUUAGGUUUUUAACAAUUGACGGAUAUAUGUUUCUACUUUUAACUUUUUGAGCCCUCGACGGAUUUCUUGUUGCAAUCAUUGUUUCGUAUUUACAACCAAUAUGUUGCAUAUCAUAGGUUAUAAACUAGAUGAAAUCUUAUGUUCUUUGAGUUAAAAAUCCAGAUACUUUUGCACCCCAUUUCGAGUAGUAGUAAUGAGAAAAGGUCUUAUAUGCAUCUCUCGUUUCAAGUACCAGAAUGUGUUGUUGUGAGAUUUCUGGUUCCAUCGUCUAGUGUUUGUUGGAAUCACUCAUUCAUGGAUUUUGUACCAUCUGUGGCUCCGUUUUUGAUGUACACCUUGUACUUGUAACGUUGCAGAACAAGCACAUGAGAGGCAGGCUGAAUAACUCAAUAAUUCCUUACUCAAAUGUUUUAUUUUCUUUCUUCAUACCUUUAACCUCCUAUCAAACAGGUAAAGUGGUGUGAAUUUCAGUUGCUGGACAUGGUAUUGAACAAACUGCUUGCACAGUAUUGUUUUACAACCUUAAAACCGAGUAUUUCCUUGUUAAACUGUUCAUCUUCCCCUUAACCAACUAAUAAUUAUAAUUUUGUUUCAGGUUCUUUUCUUUUCAGUGGACCACGGAGUAUUUCAGCAAAUUAAGGGCUUCAAGUACACGGGCUUGGUGGUUCAGUCUUCAGCAAAACAAGAUGAAAGUAAGAGACAGGUGAACUUCAUUGACAAAGUGUUAAAUUUUUGUGAUCAAGUGUUGUUUAUAUUGGGAUUGUGGACCAGUAUACUGUUUUUUCCAAUGGUUGGCUUCUGCUCUAAAAAGGAGUUUCCCUAACUCUAGGAAAGACUAUGCGCCACUUAGGGCUGCCCGACAUUUAGGCAUUCUGCGUCUAUUUGGUGUAGAAAAUCAAGCUAUUUUC